This 737-nucleotide ribosomal RNA is filed under the name toluene-degrading bacterium UCR 021t. RNAcentral describes it as "partial 16S ribosomal RNA". The stretch from base 182 to 255 matches the Rfam family "tRNA". The record is from RNAcentral.
CAGAAGUAGGUAGUCCUAACCGCAAGGGAGGGACGCUUACCACGGGUGGUGGCCGAUGACUGACCGUGAAGUCGUAACAAGGGUAGCCGUAGGGGAACCUGCGGCUCGAUCACCUCCUUAACGAAAGAUUGACGAUUGGUAAGAAUCCACAACAAGUUGUUCUUCAUGACGAUGUAUCUGAGGGUCUGUAGCUCAGUUGGUUAGAGCACACGCUUGAUAAGCGUGGGGUCACAAGUUCAAGUCUUGUCAGACCCACCAAAUCUGACUAACAAGCAUUGUUAAAUGCUGAAUACAGAAAACAGAAACAUUGACUUAUUGAUAAGCUGGGGACUUAGCUUAGUUGGUAGAGCGCCUGCUUUGCACGCAGGAGGUCAGGAGUUCGACUCUCCUAGUCUCCACCAUAUAUUAUAAAACUUAAUAAGUGCUAGCUUAUUAACUUCUGUGAUUUAUCGCAGUUUCCUGACCUGACGAAGGCUGGAAAAAUCAUUAACAGAAUAUAUUUGAGUUGAAAUAAUUUGUUCAUACUCGUUUUUAAGAUCGACAUUAUCGGUGAUUUAUUACUGGAUGAUGAAGAUUAAAGAAAUGAGUUACUAGCGAAAUUAACUGAAUCAAGCGUUUUGGUAUGUGAAUUGAAUUGAAGCUGAACAGUGUUUAAGUACACUGAACAACUAACUGUAAGGAAGAGAUUAGAAAUCUUCAUAGACUGUCUUAUCCCACUUGUAUGGAUUACCGACUGA